AGUCACUGACAUUAGAUACCCCUGUAGUCCCAGCCGUAAACGAUGUGCGUUAGGUGUGUCGGUAACCACGCGUUACUGAUGCGCCGAAGAGAAAUCGUGAAACGCACCACCUGGGAAGUACGGUCGCAAGGCUGAAACUUAAAGGAAUUGGCGGGGAGCACCACAACAGGUGGAGCCUGCGGUUUAAUUGGAUUCAACGCCGGACAUCUCACCGGAUAAGACAGCUGAAUGAUUGUCAAUCUGAAGGUUUUACAUGACUAGCUG
Molecule: ribosomal RNA, 264 nt
Filed under: uncultured archaeon
Lineage: Archaea
Description: partial 16S ribosomal RNA
Rfam family: Archaeal small subunit ribosomal RNA
Source: RNAcentral